This 498-nucleotide long non-coding RNA is filed under the name Heterocephalus glaber (naked mole-rat). Its description in RNAcentral is "lncRNA (ENSHGLG00000029436.2)". Lineage: Eukaryota; Metazoa; Chordata; Mammalia; Rodentia; Bathyergidae. The record is from RNAcentral.
GUCACGCACAGCAGCCUGGAAGGAGCUGGCAUUUGUUGGGAAAGGGCAAAAAGACCAGCCAGAAGGCCACUGAGGACCCGCUCUGGUGUCCAGGGAGCUGAGGGCCCUGGGGGAGGAGGGCAGGAAUGGUCUUUACACCAGUUCUCCCCGCUUCUGUGCCAGGGGCCUUGGAUCCAUGAUGAGGAGGCUGGAAAUGAUUGGAGAGUGAGACCAGUCAAGGCCUUGAUGUAUUGCAUAACAUCCUCUAAUCCUAGGGAAGGGUCAAAGAUAGAAGCCAAAUGAUCAUACCAAUGAAACACAUUUCUAGACCAUCGGUGUUAAAGAUGGGGGUCCAAAGAUGAGGGUUUGAGACAGUGACAGAUGCCAUUCCAUACCAUAUGGAGAAGAGUCCUGGUGAGGACAAGUACACUCCUUCUAAUGGCUCAGUGCCUUCAUUUGGGAAAGGAACUGACUCUGACCCCAUAUUACACUGCUCUGGGCAGAUAAGUAAACUGGGAC